Vicia faba (fava bean) is the source of this 321-nucleotide non-coding RNA. NCBI's taxonomy places the organism in Eukaryota, Viridiplantae, Streptophyta, Magnoliopsida, Fabales, Fabaceae. The record is from the annotation of a GenBank genome assembly.
AUGUUUCUCUCAAUCAACAAGAGAAGCGUUCAACCUUUUUAUUUGAGCAGUCAAAGUAUACGGGCUAUCGUACCGAUCUACAUCUUCCUUUUAAAGUUAACAGCCUAUGCAUUCACCCACAAUUCAACUAAUUCCUUCUUAGCAUUGGAAUUUUUUCGCUCAAUGGUUUCACACCUCUUCCUCAGCUUAUCUCGUUCCCUUGAAAUGUCGCCAAACUCCAGAACAUCGUCAUGGCCAGCAACUACCAUGGAAACAAGGGAUUCAAUCCAAAACAAAGUACGAGAAGCAUCUGUAAAAAAGGAUUCAUGUGACAGUGACUGA